This 1506-nucleotide ribosomal RNA is filed under the name Campylobacter jejuni. Its description in RNAcentral is "partial 23S ribosomal RNA". It matches the Rfam family "Bacterial large subunit ribosomal RNA", at positions 1 to 1535 of the family's 2925-position model. Lineage: Bacteria; Pseudomonadati; Campylobacterota; Epsilonproteobacteria; Campylobacterales; Campylobacteraceae. The record is from RNAcentral.
AGGUAAGCUACUAAGAGCGAAUGGUGGAUGCCUUGACUGGUAAAGGCGAUGAAGGACGUACUAGACUGCGAUAAGCUACGGGGAGCUGUCAAGAAGCUUUGAUCCGUAGAUUUCCGAAUGGGUCAACCCAAUGUAUAGAGAUAUACAUUACCUAUAUAGGAGCGAACGAGGGGAAUUGAAACAUCUUAGUACCCUCAGGAAAAGAAAUCAAUAGAGAUUGCGUCAGUAGCGGCGAGCGAAAGCGCAAGAGGGCAAACCCAGUGCUUGCACUGGGGGUUGUAGGACUGCAAUGUGCAAGAGGUAAGUUUAGCAGAACAUUCUGGAAAGUAUAACCAUAGAGGGUGAUAGUCCCGUAUGCGAAAAACAAACCUUAGCUAGCAGUAUCCUGAGUAGGGCGGGACACGAGGAAUCCUGUCUGAAUCCGGGUCGACCACGAUCCAACCCUAAAUACUAAUACCAGAUCGAUAGUGCACAAGUACCGUGAGGGAAAGGUGAAAAGAACUGAGGUGAUCAGAGUGAAAUAGAACCUGAAACCAUUUGCUUACAAUCAUUCAGAGCCCUAUGUAGCAAUACAGGGUGAUGGACUGCCUUUUGCAUAAUGAGCCUGCGAGUUGUGGUGUCUGGCAAGGUUAAGCAAACGCGAAGCCGUAGCGAAAGCGAGUCUGAAUAGGGCGCUUAGUCAGAUGCUGCAGACCCGAAACGAAGUGAUCUAUCCAUGAGCAAGUUGAAGCUAGUGUAAGAACUAGUGGAGGACUGAACCCAUAGGCGUUGAAAAGCCCCGGGAUGACUUGUGGAUAGGGGUGAAAGGCCAAUCAAACUUCGUGAUAGCUGGUUCUCUCCGAAAUAUAUUUAGGUAUAGCGUUGUGUCGUAAUAUAAGGGGGUAGAGCACUGAAUGGGCUAGGGCAUACACCAAUGUACCAAACCCUAUCAAACUCCGAAUACCUUAUAUGUAAUCACAGCAGUCAGGCGGCGAGUGAUAAAAUCCGUCGUCAAGAGGGAAACAACCCAGACUACCAGCUAAGGUCCCUAAAUCUUACUUAAGUGGAAAACGAUGUGAAGUUACUUAAACAACCAGGAGGUUGGCUUAGAAGCAGCCAUCCUUUAAAGAAAGCGUAAUAGCUCACUGGUCUAGUGAUUUUGCGCGGAAAAUAUAACGGGGCUAAAGUAAGUACCGAAGCUGUAGACUUAGUUUACUAAGUGGUAGGAGAGCGUUCUAUUUGCGUCGAAGGUAUACCGGUAAGGAGUGCUGGAGCGAAUAGAAGUGAGCAUGCAGGCAUGAGUAGCGAUAAUUAAUGUGAGAAUCAUUAACGCCGUAAACCCAAGGUUUCCUACGCGAUGCUCGUCAUCGUAGGGUUAGUCGGGUCCUAAGUCGAGUCCGAAAGGGGUAGACGAUGGCAAAUUGGUUAAUAUUCCAAUACCAACAUUAGUGUGCGAUGGAAGGACGCUUAGGGCUAAGGGGGCUAGCGGAUGGAAGUGCUAGUCUAAGGUCGUAGGAGGUUGUACAG